Molecule: long non-coding RNA, 1286 nt
Filed under: Piliocolobus tephrosceles (Ugandan red Colobus)
Lineage: Eukaryota; Metazoa; Chordata; Mammalia; Primates; Cercopithecidae
Description: lncRNA (ENSPTEG00000015202.1)
Source: RNAcentral
AAUAAAAAAUUAGAAAAGUGUAGGAUAGCGUAAAAAAAAAGGCAUAACCAUCUCUUUUGCUACUGACAAAAAAAAAGCAAAAACAAAAAAAAAAUAAGAUGCUUAAAUGUGACCUUCCUACUAUACUUAACUCAAAACAAAAGCAAACGUUUCAAAUUCAAAAGCGAUUUGCCUAUUACCGAUUCCACAAAAGAGUCGGGAAAGGGUCAUGGAAUAAAUACGUAGAAAGGUACAAACUGCCAAGAAGCAUAGAAAAUACACAGAGGUUAAUAUUUAAUUAUGAAGGUACGUAUUCAGAAAAAAAAUUAUCAUGUAGUUGGCAUUGGUUAUUACCUAAAAAGUUGGCAGAAGCUACAACAUCAGAUGGAGUAUUAAAUGUAUGGGUAUAUUAUAGGCAUAAAAAAAAAAAAGCUUACCAUUAUAUGAAAGUUUUAAAACGAUUAGUAGAUGUAGGAGCAUGUUCUACUACCGACUGGAGAUUCAAAUUAAUUACAUCUAGAAUACAAAAUAAAAUAAAUACAUUUUUGAAUUUACCAAGAAUAUGUUUUUAUUAUGGUAAAUUAAAAGCAACAGCACAAUUAGAAACUAUAACAAAAAUAUUAAUUAAUAAGUUAAAUAUGUACUUACCUAACCAAUUGUUACUCAUAUUAAAGGGGUAUGCUUUAUGCAAAUUGCAAGAUAAGUAUAUGUUUAAUAGUGUAAGAGAUAAAUUACGUACGCAUAUUCAUGGUUUUACAAUUAAUCAAUUAAUUUUAAUUAUCGAAAGUUAUGCAGCAUGCUUAAUACAUGAUUAUUUAUUUAUGAAUAUCUUGGCUAAUGAAGUUAUACACAGACUUAAUUUAUGUAAUAGUAACUACAGUCAUGUAUUAAUUGAUGAAUCGAGGUAUGGUGAUUUUAUUAAUGAAAGAAAUGGGAUAUCCGAUGACUUUAUUGAAGAGCAUGACAAUAACUUCAUCCCAAAUGGAGAAGGUAAUAAUGACAACAUUAAUGAUGAUACCAAUGUGAUGUUAUCAAAUAUACAAAAAAACGAACAGAAUUUUUUACAAUUCAAACAAGAUCAAUUAAAUUACUACCCUACUAUGAAACAUCUGACUGAUGUAGCUUAUUUUUUUUCAAAAUUAAAAUUUUUAAAUUAUGUAUUUUUUGAUUAUAUAAGCAUAUAUCUUAUCAAUUUUUUACAAAAUGAAAAGAAUUUGUUAACACCAUACAUAAUUGAAAAAGCAGUUAUAUCCUUUUGUGUAUUAAAAAUUAAUGAUAUAAAACUCUUUGAGUAUAUAUUAACACAU